RNAcentral lists this ribosomal RNA (459 nucleotides) under uncultured bacterium. Its description in RNAcentral is "bacterial SSU rRNA". It matches the Rfam family "Bacterial small subunit ribosomal RNA", at positions 29 to 533 of the family's 1533-position model. The record is from RNAcentral.
AACGAACGCUGGCGGCAGGCCUAACACAUGCAAGUCGAGCGAACCCUUCGGGGUUAGCGGCGGACGGGUUAGUAACGCGUGGGAAUAUACCCUUUGGUACGGAAUAGCCUCGGGAAACUGAGAGUAAUACCGUAUGUGCCCUUCGGGGGAAAGAUUUAUCGCCAAAGGAUUAGCCCGCGUUGGAUUAGGUAGUUGGUGGGGUAAUGGCCUACCAAGCCUACGAUCCAUAGCUGGUUUGAGAGGAUGAUCAGCAACACUGGGACUGAGACACGGCCCAGACUCCUACGGGAGGCAGCAGUGGGGAAUCUUAGACAAUGGGCGCAAGCCUGAUCUAGCCAUGCCGCGUGGACGAUGAAGGCCUUAGGGUUGUAAAGUCCUUUCAGAUGGGAAGAUAAUGACGGUACCAUCAGAAGAAGCCCCGGCUAACUCCGUGCCAGCAGCCGCGGUAAAGUACAGUGU